This 651-nucleotide ribosomal RNA is filed under the name uncultured bacterium. RNAcentral describes it as "bacterial SSU rRNA". It matches the Rfam family "Bacterial small subunit ribosomal RNA", at positions 140 to 809 of the family's 1533-position model. The record is from RNAcentral.
GGGAUAACAGUUGGAAACGACUGCUAAUACCGCAUAAGCGCACAGUACCGCAUGGUACGGUGUGAAAAACUCCGGUGGUACAAGAUGGACCCGCGUCUGAUUAGCUAGUUGGAGGGGUAACGGCCCACCAAGGCGACGAUCAGUAGCCGACUUGAGAGAGUGAUCGGCCACAUUGGGACUGAGACACGGCCCAAACUCCUACGGGAGGCAGCAGUAGGGAAUAUUGCACAAUGGGGGAAACCCUGAUGCAGCGACGCCGCGUGAAGGAUGAAGUAUUUCGGUAUGUAAACUUCUAUCAGCAAGGAAGAUAAUGACGGUACUUGACUAAGAAGCCCCGGCUAAAUACGUGCCAGCAGCCGCGGUAAUACGUAUGGGGCAAGCGUUAUCCGGAUUUACUGGGUGUAAAGGGAGCGUAGGCGGCAUGGCAAGUCAGAAGUGAAAGCCUGGGGCUCAACCCCGGAAUUGCUUUUGAAACUGUCAGGCUAGAGUGUCGGAGGGGUAAGCGGAAUUCCUAGUGUAGCGGUGAAAUGCGUAGAUAUUAGGAGGAACACCGGUGGCGAAGGCGGCUUACUGGACGAUUACUGACGCUGAGGCUCGAAAGCGUGGGGAGCAAACAGGAUUAGAUACCCUGGUAGUCCACGCCGUAAACGA